RNAcentral lists this ribosomal RNA (806 nucleotides) under uncultured Chromatiales bacterium. Its description in RNAcentral is "bacterial SSU rRNA". It matches the Rfam family "Bacterial small subunit ribosomal RNA", at positions 8 to 796 of the family's 1533-position model. The record is from RNAcentral. Lineage: Bacteria; Pseudomonadati; Pseudomonadota; Gammaproteobacteria; Chromatiales.
AGAGUUUGAUCAUGGCUCAGAUUGAACGCUGGCGGCAUGCCUAACACAUGCAAGUCGAACGGUAACAGGCCGCAAGGUGCUGACGAGUGGCGAACGGGUGAGUAAUACGUAGGUAUCUGCCCUGUAGUGGGGGAUAACCCGGGGAAACUCGGGCUAAUACCGCAUACGCUCUUUUAUCGUUGAGAUAGGAGAGGAAAGCGAGGGACCGAAAGGCCUCGCGCUAGAGGAUGAGCCUACGCCCGAUUAGCUAGUUGGUAGGGUAAAAGCCUACCAAGGCGACGAUCGGUAGCUGGUCUGAGAGGAUGGCCAGCCACACUGGGACUGAGACACGGCCCAGACUCCUACGGGAGGCAGCAGUGGGGAAUAUUGGACAAUGGGGGAAACCCUGAUCCAGCGAUGCCGCGUGGGUGAAGAAGGCCUGCGGGUUGUAAAGCCCUUUCAGUGGGGAAGAAAAACGGGGUGUGAAAAGCGCUUCGUCUUGACGUUACCCACAGAAGAAGCACCGGCUAACUCCGUGCCAGCAGCCGCGGUAAUACGGAGGGUGCGAGCGUUAAUCGGAAUUACUGGGCGUAAAGGGCGCGUAGGCGGUUAGGUAAGUCGAGUGUGAAAGCCCUGGGCUUAACCUGGGAAUGGCAUUCGAGACUACCUAUCUAGAGUCUGGUAGAGGGAAGUGGAAUUUCCGGUGUAGCGGUGAAAUGUGUAGAUAUCGGAAGGAACACCAGUGGCGAAGGCGACUUCCUGGACCAAGACUGACGCUGAGGCGCGAAAGCGUGGGGAUCAAACAGGAUUAGAUACCCUCGUAGUCC